CCUACGGGAGGCAGCAGUGGGGAAUAUUGCACAAUGGGGGAAACCCUGAUGCAGCGACGCCGCGUGAAGGAAGAAGUAUUUCGGUAUGUAAACUUCUAUCAGCAGGGAAGAAAAUGACGGUACCUGACUAAGAAGCCCCGGCUAACUACGUGCCAGCAGCCGCGGUAAUACGUAGGGGGCAAGCGUUAUCCGGAUUUACUGGGUGUAAAGGGAGCGUAGACGGCUGGGCAAGUCUGAAGUGAAAGGCGGGGGCCCAACCCCCGGACUGCUUUGGAAACUGUAUAGCUAGAGUGCAGGAGAGGUAAGUGGAAUUCCUAGUGUAGCGGUGAAAUGCGUAGAUAUUAGGAGGAACACCAGUGGCGAAGGCGGCUUACUGGACUGUAACUGACGUUGAGGCUCGAAAGCGUGGGGAGCAAACAGGAUUAGAUACCCGAGUAGUC
Molecule: ribosomal RNA, 440 nt
Filed under: uncultured bacterium
Lineage: Bacteria
Description: partial 16S ribosomal RNA
Rfam family: Bacterial small subunit ribosomal RNA
Source: RNAcentral